CUUAUAUUACGUUAUUCUGACAAUGGAAAGAUAAGCUUUUGCAUACGUCUGGAAAAGAAUAUCCUUAAAAUCGGAAUGGGCAAGACAUCCUGAAAUUUUAGCAUUGUCUUACAUCCUAUAGAAGAAAUACCUUAGUCUGUCACAGUCAGCAUAUUAUGUCGUUUAAGUAUUCAAUAUUCCUUCAGUCAGCAAUAAUCAUGUUAUAAACCUUAUAAAAGCAUAAAAUACAUAUAAACAAGUUAACUAUUUAAUAUUCUUACACAGG
RNAcentral lists this long non-coding RNA (265 nucleotides) under Pelobates cultripes (western spadefoot toad). The record is from RNAcentral. Lineage: Eukaryota; Metazoa; Chordata; Amphibia; Anura; Pelobatidae.